Molecule: ribosomal RNA, 253 nt
Filed under: uncultured bacterium
Lineage: Bacteria
Description: partial 16S ribosomal RNA
Rfam family: Bacterial small subunit ribosomal RNA
Source: RNAcentral
GACAGAGGAUGCAAGCGUUAUCCGGAAUGAUUGGGCGUAAAGCGUCUGUAGGUGGCUCUUUAAGUCUGCCGUCAAAUCCCAGGGCUUAACCCUGGACAGGCGGUGGAAACUACCAAGCUGGAGUACGGUAGGGGCAGGGGGAAUUUCCGGUGGAGCGGUGAAAUGCGUAGAGAUCGGAAAGAACACCAACGGCGAAAGCACUCUGCUGGGCCGACACUGACACUGAGAGACGAAAGCUAGGGGAGCGAAUGGG